Molecule: ribosomal RNA, 545 nt
Filed under: Chryseobacterium sp. 3T-N17
Lineage: Bacteria; Pseudomonadati; Bacteroidota; Flavobacteriia; Flavobacteriales; Weeksellaceae
Description: bacterial SSU rRNA
Rfam family: Bacterial small subunit ribosomal RNA
Source: RNAcentral
UAUGUGGUUUAAUUCGAUGAUACGCGAAGAACCUUACCAAGGCUUAAAUGGGAAAUGACAGGUUUAAAAAUAGACUUUUCUUCGGACAUUUUUCAAGGUGCUGCAUGGUUGUCGUCAGCUCGUGCCGUGAGGUGUUAGGUUAAGUCCUGCAACGAGCGCAACCCCUGUCACUAGUUGCCAUCAUUAAGUUGGGGACUCUAGUGAGACUGCCUACGCAAGUACAGAGGAAGGUGGGGAUGACGUCAAAUCAUCACGGCCCUUACGCCUUGGGCCACACACGUAAUACAAUGGCCGGUACAGAGGGCAGCUACACUGCGAAGUGAUGCAAAUCUCGAAAGCCGGUCUCAGUUCGGAUUGGAGUCUGCAACUCGACUCUAUGAAGCUGGAAUCGCUAGUAAUCGCGCAUCAGCCAUGGCGCGGUGAAUACGUUCCCGGGCCUUGUACACACCGCCCGUCAAGCCAUGGAAGUCUGGGGUACCUGAAGUCGGUGACCGUAACAGGACCUGCCUAGGGUAAAACAGGUAACUAGGGCUAAGUCGUAACAA